GCCUACGGGGGGCAGCAGUAGGGAAUCUUCCACAAUGGGCGAAAGCCUGAUGGAGCAACGCCGCGUGGGUGAAGAAGGUCUUCGGAUCGUAAAACCCUGUUGUUAGAGAAGAAAGUGCGUGAGAGUAACUGUUCAUGUUUCGACGGUAUCUAACCAGAAAGCCACGGCUAACUACGUGCCAGCAGCCGCGGUAAUACGUAGGUGGCAAGCGUUAUCCGGAUUUAUUGGGCGUAAAGGGAACGCAGGCGGUCUUUUAAGUCUGAUGUGAAAGCCUUCGGCUUAACCGGAGGAGUGCCUUGGAAACU
RNAcentral lists this ribosomal RNA (305 nucleotides) under uncultured bacterium. RNAcentral's name for it is "bacterial SSU rRNA". It matches the Rfam family "Bacterial small subunit ribosomal RNA", at positions 337 to 634 of the family's 1533-position model. The record is from RNAcentral.